GUUGAAAUGGUGGAGUCCAACUUGCCUGGACCAGCUUAAUGGUUCUGCUCCUGGUAACGUUUUUAUCCAUGGAUGACUUGCUUGGGUAUGGAGAGUCGGCUUGACUACACUGUGUGGAGCAAGUUUUAAAGAAGCAAAGGACUCAGAAUUCAUGAUUGAAGAAAUGCAGGUUAGUUUAAACUUUGAAGGAAAUUUUUAAGGUGGCAAAAGGUUUUGGUGGCAUAUACACCUUAAUCUGUAGAUGGGAGUGAUUAGCUGUUUAAAAGUUAAAAUGUGACUGAGAAGGAAAUUGAGUAGGGCAAAUUUUAAAUGGGUAUUAUUUUUCAUCUUCAAACAGGCAGACCUGUUAUCCUAAACUAGGUGAGUCAGCUUUUGGUACAUGUGAUGAUUUUCAGUGUAACCAAUGAUGUAAUGAUUCUGCCAAAUGAAAUAUAAUGAUAUCACUGUAAAACCGUUCCAUUUUGAUUCUGAGGUUACUCUACUAACAAGCAUCACACAUUUGUAUUUUGCCCUGAUUAAUAUGUUGGCUUCGCUUUCAGGGUUUUUAAUGACCACAACAAGCAAGCAUGCAGCUUACUGCUUGAAAGGGUCUUGCCUCACCCAAGCUAGAGUGCAGUGGCCUUUGAAGCUUACUACAGCCUCAAACUUCUGGGCUCAAGUGAUCCUCAGCCUCCCAGUGGUCUUUGUAGACUGCCUGAUGGAGUCUCAUGGCACAAGAAGAUUAAAACAGUGUCUCCAAUUUUAAUAAAUUUUUGCAAU
RNAcentral lists this long non-coding RNA (759 nucleotides) under Homo sapiens (human). RNAcentral describes it as "long non-coding RNA NONHSAT152561.1". The stretch from base 399 to 475 matches the Rfam family "Small nucleolar RNA SNORD47". Lineage: Eukaryota; Metazoa; Chordata; Mammalia; Primates; Hominidae. The record is from RNAcentral.